RNAcentral lists this ribosomal RNA (919 nucleotides) under archaeon enrichment culture clone AOM-SR-A42. Its description in RNAcentral is "bacterial SSU rRNA". It matches the Rfam family "Archaeal small subunit ribosomal RNA", at positions 1 to 922 of the family's 1478-position model. The record is from RNAcentral.
UUCCGGGUUGAUCCUGCCGGAGGCUACUGCUAUCGGGGUUCGAUUAAGCCAUGCGAGUUAAAUGUUCUUCGUGAACAUAGCGAACUGCUCAGUAACACGUGGAUAACCUACCCUUAGGACCGGAAUAACCCCGGGAAACUGGGGAUAAUACCGGAUAAGCCAUAGACGCUGGAAUGCCCUAUGGUUCAAAGCUCCGGCGCCUAAGGAUGGAUCUGCGGUCUAUCAGGUUGUAGUGGGUGUAACGUACCUACUAGCCGACGACGGAUACGGGUUGUGAGAGCAAGAGCCCGGAGAUGGAUUCUGAGACACGAAUCCAGGCCCUACGGGGUGCAGCAGGCGCGAACACUUUACAAUGCGGGAAACCGCGAUAAGGGAACCCCGAGUGCCAGCAUCAAAUGUUGGCUGUCCGGAUGAUUAAAAAUCAUUUGUUAGCAAGGGCCGGGCAAGACCGGUGCCAGCCGCCGCGGUAACACCGGCGGCCCGAGUGGUAGCCGUUUUUAUUGGGUCUAAAGGGUCCGUAGCCGGCCUGAUCAGUCCUUUGGGAAAUCUGGCAGCUUAACUGUCAGGCUUCUAAGGGAUACUGUCAGGCUUGGGACCGGAAGAGGUAAGGGGUACUCCAGGGGUAGGAGUGAAAUCUUGUAAUCCCUGGGGGACCAUCUGUGGCGAAGGCGCCUUACCAGAACGGGUCCGACGGUGAGGGACGAAAGCUAGGGGAGCAAACCGGAUUAGAUACCCGGGUAGUCCUAGCUGUAAACGAUGCUCGCUAGGUGUCAGACACGGUGCGACCGUGUUUGGUGCCGCAGGGAAGCCGUUAAGCGAGCCACCUGGGAAGUACGGUCGCAAGGCUGAAACUUAAAGGAAUUGGCGGGGGAGCACUACAACGGGUGGAGCCUGCGGUUUAAUUGGAUUCAACGCCGGA